This 253-nucleotide ribosomal RNA is filed under the name uncultured bacterium. Its description in RNAcentral is "partial 16S ribosomal RNA". It matches the Rfam family "Bacterial small subunit ribosomal RNA", at positions 524 to 776 of the family's 1533-position model. The record is from RNAcentral.
UACGGAGGUUGCAAGCGUUAUCCGGAUUUAUUGGGUUUAAAGGGUGCGUAGGCGGGCCUGUAAGUCAGUGGUGAAAUCCUGUAGCUUAACUAUAGAAAUGCCAUUGAUACUACAGAUCUUGAGUACAGUUGAGGUAGGCGGAAUGUGUAAUGUAGCGGUGAAAUGCUUAGAUAUUACACAGAACACCAAUUGCGUAGGCAGCUUACUAAACUGUUACUGACGCUGAGGCACGAAAGCGUGGGGAUCAAACAGG